AUCCUGGCUCAGAAUCAACGCUGGCGGCGCGCUUAACACAUGCAAGUCGCACGAGAAAGUCCGCAAGGAUGAGUACAGUGGCGCACGGGUGAGUAACACGUGGAUGAUCCGCCCUCUAGUGGGGAAUAACCCUGGGAAACCGGGGCUAAUACCGCAUAAGUCCGGGAGGAGAAAGCCGAAAGGCGCUGGAGGAGGAGUCCGCGGUCGAUUAGCUGGUUGGCGGGGUAAAGGCCCACCAAGGCGACGAUCGAUAGCCGGCCUGAGAGGGCACACGGCCACACUGGCACUGAAACACGGGCCAGACUCCUACGGGAGGCA
RNAcentral lists this ribosomal RNA (318 nucleotides) under uncultured Acidobacteriota bacterium. Its description in RNAcentral is "bacterial SSU rRNA". It matches the Rfam family "Bacterial small subunit ribosomal RNA", at positions 16 to 350 of the family's 1533-position model. The record is from RNAcentral. Lineage: Bacteria; Pseudomonadati; Acidobacteriota.